GCCUGGCUGGCUCAGUUUGUAGAGCGUGAGGCUCUUGAUCUCAGGAUCAUGAGUUCGAGCCCCACAUUGGGUG
Molecule: transfer RNA, 73 nt
Filed under: Felis catus (domestic cat)
Lineage: Eukaryota; Metazoa; Chordata; Mammalia; Carnivora; Felidae
Also listed under: 1 other name
Rfam family: tRNA
About the family: Transfer RNA (tRNA) molecules are approximately 80 nucleotides in length. Their secondary structure includes four short double-helical elements and three loops (D, anti-codon, and T loops).
Source: Rfam by way of RNAcentral